Molecule: ribosomal RNA, 448 nt
Filed under: uncultured bacterium
Lineage: Bacteria
Description: bacterial SSU rRNA
Rfam family: Bacterial small subunit ribosomal RNA
Source: RNAcentral
GUCCAGACUCCUACGGGAGGCAGCAGUGGGGAAUAUUGCACAAUGGGGGAAACCCUGAUGCAGCGACGCCGCGUGAGUGAAGAAGUAUUUCGGUAUGUAAAGCUCUAUCAGCAGGGAAGAAAAUGACGGUACCUGACUAAGAAGCCCCGGCUAACUACGUGCCAGCAGCCGCGGUAAUACGUAGGGGGCAAGCGUUAUCCGGAUUUACUGGGUGUAAAGGGAGCGUAGACGGCAUGGCAAGUCAGAUGUGAAAGCCCGGGGCUCAACCCCGGGACUGCAUUUGAAACUGUCAGGCUGGAGUGCAGGAGAGGUAAGUGGAAUUCCUAGUGUAGCGGUGAAAUGCGUAGAUAUUAGGAGGAACACCAGUGGCGAAGGCGGCUUACUGGACUGUAACUGACGUUUAGGCUCGAAAGCGUGGGGAGCAAACAGGAUUAGAUACCCUAGUAUA